CAAGAACAAGUUAUUGGUGUGGUUCAUGUGGGAAAUUCAGUACUUUGUUUUAGAGGACGAAAUAAAGAGAAGAAAUUUAUGUGAUGGAUUUCUAUAGAGAUUUGUCACAUGAAGUAUUUGAUGUGGGUAAGUCUAUUUUGAAUACAUCUGGUGUCGGGUUUGGUCUACUUUCAAUCACCAAAUGAUAAGGUGAGAUAUCUGAAUUCUGUUUA
RNAcentral lists this long non-coding RNA (212 nucleotides) under Hordeum vulgare. Its description in RNAcentral is "long non-coding RNA (HVUL_LNC002750)". The record is from RNAcentral. Lineage: Eukaryota; Viridiplantae; Streptophyta; Magnoliopsida; Poales; Poaceae.